GAGGCACAGAAUCCAGACCCACAGCUUUUAGCAGAGAAGGACUGGACAUGAUAUGUGGUUGCAAGGAACUCUUGCUGAUGUGUGAAUCCUGCCCCCAUCCACAUAAUGUUUUACAAGCUUCCAGCAGGUCCUUAGUCAUUGAAGAAAUGAUGUAACCUGCACAAGUUUCAUCGGAGCCCUUGGAGAUACAAAUAAGAGCAAUCCUUUGUCAGGAAUUUGCCCAGCUCACAUCGAAUGUCUCCUGUGGUGACAACUGCAACCAAAAAAUGAAAAGACUAACAAAAAACUUGCAGAACAAAAUGAGAGCUUCGAAGGCAAGGUACUAAGCAAUAGGAUGAGCCCUGGGAAAUACAUGGAAGUGUGAGUACACUUUUACUUUUUCUCCCAUCGGAUUCUCUAUUUGGUGCUUAAAAUAAAACCUGAACUUUAAAACAAUUAAAAAAAAAAAAUAAAGGCAAAAUGCUCAACUACAAAUUGCUGUGGGGAAGUGCCUGCCUAUUAUGGAUACCAAGAAAGAUUACAAACCUGACUUUGACCUUCCAGGUAUGCAAAUAGCUUCCUCAUGUCUGCUCCUCCUGAUUUUGAAGUUCUUGUAUUGUCAGUUCAGACACUGCUAUCUCAAGUGUGAGCAUGAAAGUAUUCAAAAUGCAAAAAUGAAGAUUAAUAGAGAAUUUCAAGCACUUGCUUUCAAACAAUGAUUGGUACAGAGUGUCUACCCAUUCUUCCGUGGCAGAAUUACCAGAGACCACUAAAGAAUACUUAUUAUCUCCAUAAUUAGAUGUCUUAUAGAUGCAGUAAAUGAUGCAAAAACAGCACAGUGUUCAGAGCUGUGAUUUAUGGUUACUUAGUCAAUAUUAUAUGCAAACGUUACUUCCAGUAUUACACACAUGCUGGGCCCGAGGCUCCUGGAGGUUCCUGAGUGCAGGGGCACAUCCGGGGAAUUUGUGAGAACAGAGUCGCUGCUUACAGGAAGGAAUGGGUCAACCACUCUACACUAGUUUUAUUUCAAAAUUCAAAUAAGAAACAGUGAGUAAACAGACACUUUUUUUUCUAAAAAAUAACAUACACUGCUGUCUCUGGGUUCUCAGCAUUUAUGACUCUGUGAGCAGAAGGGGCCAUGGGGUAGACUCUGAAUAUUAACAAAAGUUAGUCUUCUUUAAUUAUUUCAUAAUGAAGGUACAAUAGAUAUUGUGAAAGGGAAAAGAAACUGCUCAA
Molecule: long non-coding RNA, 1215 nt
Organism: Chinchilla lanigera (long-tailed chinchilla)
Lineage: Eukaryota; Metazoa; Chordata; Mammalia; Rodentia; Chinchillidae
Exons: 3
Source: RefSeq, a predicted model, not a curated record